UCCAGCUCAUCGCUGGCAGUCCCACUAGAGUGCCCGGCAUCCGAAGAUCCGCUGGCAACUAGCAGCAAUGGUUGCGCUCGUUUUGGCACUUAAGCCAACACCUCACGGCACGAGCUGACGACAGCCAUGCAGCUCCUGUGAAGGUUCUCGAUUGGUUACGAGUCCUAACCCUUUCAGGUUCGUACUUCCCACAUGUCAAGCCUGGGUAAGGUUCUUCGAGUAGCAUCGAAUUAAACCACAUGUUCCACCGCUUGUGCUGGCCCCCGUCAAUUCCUUUGAGUUUCAAUCUUGCGACCGUACUCCUCAGGUGGGGCACUUAACGCGUUAACUGCGGCACCGAUUCCUCAAGGAAACCGACACCUAGUGCCCAUCGUUUACGGCUAGGACUAC
This 390-nucleotide unclassified non-coding RNA is filed under the name uncultured bacterium. RNAcentral describes it as "contains 16S-23S intergenic spacer region". The record is from RNAcentral.